This 1182-nucleotide ribosomal RNA is filed under the name Monolene sp. LS241. RNAcentral's name for it is "partial 16S ribosomal RNA". It matches the Rfam family "Bacterial large subunit ribosomal RNA", at positions 599 to 2558 of the family's 2925-position model. The record is from RNAcentral. Lineage: Eukaryota; Metazoa; Chordata; Actinopteri; Pleuronectiformes; Bothidae.
UCGUACCUUUUGCAUCAUGAAUUAGCUAGCAUAAGCAAGCAAGGAGCACCAUAGCUUGCCACCCCGAAACUGGGUGAGCUACUCCGAGACAGCCUGUUUCAGGGCAAACCCGUCUCUGUGGCAAUAGAGUGGGAAGAUCUUUGAGUAGAGGUGACAAACCUACCGAACCCAGUUAUAGCUGGUUGUCUGGAAGAUGGAUAUUAGUUCAGCCCCCCCACUUCUCCACUAGAGGAGGGAGUUAGUCAAAGGGGGUACAGCCCCUUUGACGGAGGACACAACUUUGUAAGGAGGAUAAAGAUUAUAACACUCAAGGGAUCGCAUAUCAGUAGGCUUGGAAGCAGCCACCUGCACGGAAAGCGUUAAAGCUCAAGUACAACAUCCCAACAAACUUAUCCGAAGCCCCAAGAAUUCACCAGACCUUCCUACGCCCGGCGUAGGAGAGAACAUGCUAAUAUGAGUAAUAAGAAGAGACUUUCUCCUAGCACAAGCGUAUAUCAGCACGGACAACCCACCGAGAAUUAACGGACCCAAAAGAAGAGGGUACUGACCAACAACUGGAAAAACAUUCCCCGUUGACCCUACACUGGUGUGCAUAAAGGAAAGACUAAAAGAAAAAGAAGGAACUCGGCAAACAAGCCUCGCCUGUUUACCAAAAACAUCGCCUCUUGCUAGAAUAAGAGGUCGAGCCUGCCCGGUGACACUAUGUUCAACGGCCGCGGUAUAUUAACUGUGCUAAGGUAGCGUAAUCACUUGUCCUUUAAAUGGAGACCUGUAUGAAAGGUAUGACGAGGGCUUAACUGUCUCCUUUUUCUAGUCAGUGAAAUUGAUCUCCCCGUGCAGAAGCGGGGAUUGACCCAUAAGACGAGAAGACCCUGUGGAGCUUAAGGCAAUUGUGCAGAUCAUGUCAACAACCCACCCCCGGGGGAGAACUGAGUGAAUCCUGCUCCAGUGCCUUAGGUUGGGGCGACCAUGGGGUAAACCUAACCCCCAUGCGGAUAGGGAGCACUCCCACAAACCAGAGCUCCUGCUCUAGUCAACGAAAUAUUCGACCUAGACUGAUCCGGGCUAACCGAUCAACGGACCAAGUUACCCCAGGGAUAACAGCGCGAUCCCCUUCCAGAGCCCAUAUCGACAAGGGGGUUUACGACCUCGAUGUUGGAUCAGGACAUCCUAAUGGUGCAA